ACUGUGGUUAGUGUAGGGCUCGGCCUCUGAUGAGUGAGGAUCUUUCCUCAAAGCCCACCUUUGUCCAAAGAAAGAAUCUGAGCCUCCCCUUGACUUAUUUUAUUUUUUGCCAGUUUUGUAAAUGCUGUAUGCUUCCAUACUACCCCCUUCCCUAAUUUCCACCUCUAGAAUUAACUGCCAGAGAUACAGUUGUCCACAUGGAAUGUAGUAUAAUUGUGAUAGAAAGGAAGAAAUCCCCCUUGCUUAGUAUUAAAAGUUUCUGGUUAAAAUAACUGACUAAAUAUUAAGUAAAACAUCACCUUCUGGGUACAAUGCAGAAAAGUAAAAGCAGUUCAUAUAAGAUUACUAAACUUUGGGAGGUCUUCAAGACCAGCCCUGGCAACAUAGCGAGACCCCAUGUCUGCAAAAAAAGUUUUAAAAAUUAGCCGGGCAUGGUGGCGUGCACUUGUAGUCCCAGCUACUCAGGAGGCUGAGGCAGGAGGAUCGCUUGAGCCCAGGAGUCUGAGGUUGCAGUGAGCCGUGGUGACACCACUGCACUCCCGCCUGGGUGACAGAGUGAGAUCCAAAAAAAUUUACUGAAAUAACAAAAACGUGGACUUUGGGAUUUCCUCUAACUGCUGCAAAUUAUAACACAGAAUUGCUCAGUGUUAAUACUUGAAUUGUGGGGCCAAGUCUUCUGGCUGCCCUAGUUCUCUUUUCUGGCAUUUGAAAGCCCUUGAGCUAGCUAUGGAGCUAAUCUUUGGACAGGCUUUUUGGUUCCCAGGAAUGUCAUGCCUUUGAAUUUCCAAUCUAUAUAUAUACAGUGUGUGUGUAUGUAUACCUGUCUUUUCACUGUAAGGCACCUCCACCCAUCCCUUAUAGAAGGAGCCACAAACAAUCAAGCAAAUGGAUGGAGGUUAAUUAAGGGGAAGAGGAAAUAGUCUGUUCUCUGACUCGAGACCUGAAAUUGCAGUGGGGCACGUAAGAGAAAGUGAAGCAACAAAUGAGGAACAUGAGAACACUGGAGUAGAAAGCUGGGUGGGCAUCAGACAGCUGACCAAAAUUUUCACUAUCAAAAUGGCAGAAGUUACCUUUGGGAAUUGCCUUCGGAGUGUUUAUGAGCUGCAAAAGAACAUCAAUUAGUCUUAUUACUUUACAGUUUUCUCUGUCUAUGUAGGGUAAAAACAUUAUAUAUCCAUAUAAAAUAUAUAUCAUUAAAACUUAGCCUGUUGGACAUUUCUUUUUUUAUUUUUAAUUGUAACUUUUGUGGGUACAUGGUGUACAUAUUCAUGGAAUGCAUGAGAUGUUUUGAUACAGGUGUGCAAUGUGUGAUAAUCACAACAUGGAGAAUGGGGUAUCUAUCCCCUCAAGCAUUUAUACUUUGUAUUAUAAACAAUCCAAUUAUACUCUUUUAGUUAUUUUUUAAUGUACGAUUCAAUUAUGAUUGACUAUAGUCACCCUGUUGUGCUAUCAAAUACUAGGUCUUAUUCAGUCUUUCUAAAUUUUUGGUACCCAUUAACCAUUCCCACCCCUCUGCCCUUCCACCACUCUUUCCAGCCAGUUGGACAUUUCUUUUAUAAACUGAAGUAUGUGGCGAAUGACUUUUAACCAUUUCCGAAAAUCAAACACGAUGUAAAAAUAUUACACUUGUGGACUCAGAAUACCAAAAAUAUGUGUUUCCAGCCCUGAUGGCAAUCUUCAAAGAGGGAUUGCAGCAUACCUGGAGUAGCCACAGCACCGUUGUCAGCACUGAGCCCACACAAGUGACUGUUGACACAGGGACCGUAUUCUGUGUAUAUCUAUGUUCUGAGAAUAUUUUGUUGUUGUGGUGGUGGUUGGAAAAGCUUUUAUAUGACAGUUUAUGGCUCACAGUGGUGUCUGGCUGGUGGCCUUCAAUGCAAUGACUCAUAAGAACCUCUCCUUCAGUCACCCUUGAAGACCCAACAAAGCUGGGGAAAGGAGGGGAAUUUCCCGAUACCAUUGACAAUGAAGAUGGACAAGCUAACGGCAGAACCUCAGAAGGAUCUGACUUCAGAUAUGCACGCAGCGUACCCUGGCUUCAUUUCACAAAAACAGUACCCUUUUGCAAAGGGAGGAAGUGACUUUCUCAUGACCCGAACCAGAAAAUAGGCAGCCACGGGACUCUAUGCACUGAUUCCACCUUGGGGAGCAGGCAGAACAUGUCCCCUUUGUGACCACGUUCACUGGCAUCUUUCUGGAUCCAGAUAGAGUGCAAAACUUAGAAACAGCUGAGUGGUACGCAGAGGGGGUACAGGUACAGAUCAUACCGUGCAGGCAGGUAUGAC
Homo sapiens (human) is the source of this 2285-nucleotide long non-coding RNA. Ensembl annotates it as long intergenic non-protein coding RNA 2977. Lineage: Eukaryota; Metazoa; Chordata; Mammalia; Primates; Hominidae. The record is from Ensembl.